CCAGGGGAAGGUUCGUCCGCCCUGGGUUAGUCGGGACCUAAGCUGAGGCCGAAAGGCGUAGGUGAUGGACAACAGGUUGAUAUUCCUGUACUACCGAUAACCGUUUGAGAGAAGGGAUGACACAGUAGGAUAAGCUAAGCACACUGUUGGUUAUGUGUGCCCAAGCAUUGAGGCAGUCAAAGUAGGCAAAUCCGCUUUGAUAAUGCUGGGAUGUGAUGGGGAGCGAAAUUUAGUAGCGAAGUAGCUGAUUUCACACUGUCAAGAAAAGUCUCUAUCGAGGUUAAAGGUACCCGUACCGCAAACCGACACAGGUGGGUGAGGAGAGUAUCCUAAGGCCAGCGAGAGAACUGUUGUUAAGGAACUCGGCAAAAUGACCCCGUAACUUAGGGAUAAGGGGUGCCACCAUCAGGUGGCCGCAGAGAAUAGGCCCAAGCGACUGUUUACCAAAAACAUAGGUUUCUGCUAAGUCGCAAGACGAUGUAUAGGAGCUGACGCCUGCCCGGUGCUGGAAGGUUAAGGGGAUCUGUUAGAG
RNAcentral lists this ribosomal RNA (532 nucleotides) under Clostridioides difficile. Its description in RNAcentral is "bacterial LSU rRNA". It matches the Rfam family "Bacterial large subunit ribosomal RNA", at positions 1354 to 1895 of the family's 2925-position model. Lineage: Bacteria; Bacillati; Bacillota; Clostridia; Peptostreptococcales; Peptostreptococcaceae. The record is from RNAcentral.